GAUGAACGCUAGCUACAGGCUUAACACAUGCAAGUCGAGGGGCAGCAUGGUCUUAGCUUGCUAAGGCCGAUGGCGACCGGCGCACGGGUGAGUAACACGUAUCCAACCUGCCGUCUACUCUUGGACAGCCUUCUGAAAGGAAGAUUAAUACAAGAUGGCAUCAUGAGUCCGCAUGUUCACAUGAUUAAAGGUAUUCCGGUAGACGAUGGGGAUGCGUUCCAUUAGAUAGUAGGCGGGGUAACGGCCCACCUAGUCUUCGAAGGAUAGGGGUUCUGAGAGGAAGGUCCCCCACAUUGGAACUGAGACACGGUCCAAACUCCUACGGGAGGCAGCAGUGAGGAAUAUUGGUCAAUGGGCGCAGGCCUGAACCAGCCAAGUAGCGUGAAGGAUGACUGCCCUAUGGGUUGUAAACUUCUUUUAUAAAGGAAUAAAGUCGGGUAUGUAUACCCGUUUGCAUGUACUUUAUGAAUAAGGAUCGGCUAACUCCGUG
RNAcentral lists this ribosomal RNA (490 nucleotides) under uncultured bacterium. Its description in RNAcentral is "partial 16S ribosomal RNA". It matches the Rfam family "Bacterial small subunit ribosomal RNA", at positions 28 to 507 of the family's 1533-position model. The record is from RNAcentral.